Molecule: non-coding RNA, 1564 nt
Organism: Jatropha curcas
Lineage: Eukaryota; Viridiplantae; Streptophyta; Magnoliopsida; Malpighiales; Euphorbiaceae
Source: RefSeq, a predicted model, not a curated record
CAAUAAGGUGUUUUUAAGUAAUGUGGCAAACCGAAAAUACACCUAGGACUGCAUGUAGCGCUGAGAUGUAUUUUCAAACUCAAACACGUUAAAACCAAGAGCAAAUCAAGAAUUCCGUGGUUCAUAUUGAGUCAAACCCGAAGUGAACCAAAGCAAGACAUACAAUUAUCUUUUAGGGUUUGUAAGAGAGGACAACACCGAACACAGUAGAGAGAGAAUGGCUAUGGCGGGGUUGUAAAGUUUUUAGAGAGAGUACCCAUUAGAUAGAGGAGUACUCCAGUGCCAACGCAGUCAGAAAGAGGAGUACCCAUUUGAUAAUCUCUUCGAAACCCAGAUAGGGAUAUUUUUUUAUAUGGAUUUUCUGUUAAAAUUGGGGAUUGGGUCAGGUUUAGAGGAAGAGAAAUGGUUGGGUUGUUUUCUGGUCACUGGUUGUUGCAAUUUCAUAUCCUUUUCGUGCAACGAAUUAAAAUUAGCCUACUCUUUUCAUUUCCAUAAAUUCUCAAUAGAAUUCAUUCUUGGGAUUUUAUAACAGAAAUCUCACGUUCUAACAAAGAAUAUUUUUCUGUUUGAAUAUCUGCAAUUUUGCUUGAAAUGAUAUUUUUUUAGUAUAAUUUUUAAGAUUACUUUUAAGGUUUUUUACUUAAUUGUUUAUCUUUCUUCAUUUCCUUUCCUUUUUCACUUACCUUCUUGUUAACAAAAAUCAAUUCCGUGAUUGGUGUCUAAUUGCUGGGAUGACUGGUAAAGGAGGAGAAAUCUACGGGUUAGCAGAAUUCUUGAUAACAAUGGUGAACAUUGUGAGGGAGCUAUUGCCAAAAUGUGAAUAUCUUAACUGUGUUAUAUAUGUCUGUAAUGAUUCUUGAUCUCAAGCCAAUCAAGCACCAUUCAUAUAUAAUUUCACAUCUGUUAGGGACUCGAUCUGUUGAUGUGAGCUAAGAAUCGGUGCUGUUAACUGGGUAUUGGUAAAAUAUUUGUUUUAUUAUUUUCGUGCUUCAUUGAGCUAGCAUUUUUGGGAUAAACAUGCAGUAACAGUAUGAUUUCUGGUUUGCGACAAUAUCCGGAUACGGCAGAGGAAUUUAAACACUUAAUUGCAAUAAAAAUUUUGAAGAUGCAGCACUAAAAGUGUAUUUUGCUUGGGAACUUGAUUGAAAAUAUAAAGUUAGUUGCAUCUAAAACAACAAAAUAUACAACGCACAAACAUGACCAAACAUUCGCAUUAAUUGCAUAUACAAAAGGCAUAAAAAACAAGCGAUGACCCUAAUUAAAUUCUUUAUAUAUUUAUAUAUAUAUAUACUAUUUAUUUUUUUGAAAGAAAUAUAUAUAUAUAGAAAGAAAGAAAUCAGCAAGGAGCAAAGCGGUCCAUAAGCAUACAAAUGGUGGCCUCAGACAUUGAAUUACAACUUUCUUUAUUAUGAACCACUUUGCUCUCUUUCUCAACUUCCUUUUCUUCUUCUUUAGCUUUUGACAACAGCAACAAUGGCCUCUUUGAUAUGACCUUCUCUUUAAGCUUAGCUAACUCCUUCACACAUGUUCCUACAACUGAAGACAUUUUUGCCUUUCGUUUCUC